UCACAUAUAAGAUGAAAAUCCAUGCAUGUCCUCUGUAUCUCAUAAUUUAAAUGAUUAGUAACUCUAGCUGAUUGCUUAAAAAUAUAAAACCAAAACUAACAGCGAGAUACAUGGAGAAACCAAUCAAAUUCUAUGAUUCUUAAUCUACACUUAUAACAAGAUUUUAUGUUGUGAUGGGAUGAGACGCGUCUUAGUUGUCACAUCUUAUUUCUAUAAGAAAAUUAGAUCAAGAUAGGAUCCGAACUCCAAAAGUUAUCCAUGUGGAUAAAGAAGAGGGAAAGAAGAAAGAGGAAAGAAUGAAAGAAAGAAAGAAGGCAAAAAUUAAAAGGAAGAAAAUAAAAAAAGAAAGGGAAAGAAGAAAGAAAAGAAAAGAAAAAAGAAGGAAGAAAGGAAAGAAAGAAGAAAAAGAAAAAAGAAAAAAAGAAAGAAAAAGAAAAA
Molecule: long non-coding RNA, 438 nt
Filed under: Elaeis guineensis (African oil palm)
Lineage: Eukaryota; Viridiplantae; Streptophyta; Magnoliopsida; Arecales; Arecaceae
Description: long non-coding RNA (EGUI_LNC069726)
Source: RNAcentral